ACGUCAAGUCCUCAUGGCCCUUAUGGGCUGGGCUACACACGUGCUACAAUGGCGGUGACAGAGGGAAGCGAGGGUGCGAGCCUGAGCCGAUCCCCAAAAGCCGUCUCAGUUCGGAUUGCACUCUGCAACUCGAGUGCAUGAAGUCGGAAUCGCUAGUAAUCGCGGAUCAGCACGCCGCGGUGAAUACGUUCCCGGGCCUU
This 200-nucleotide ribosomal RNA is filed under the name uncultured organism. RNAcentral's name for it is "partial small subunit ribosomal RNA". It matches the Rfam family "Bacterial small subunit ribosomal RNA", at positions 1182 to 1382 of the family's 1533-position model. The record is from RNAcentral.